ACUUUUAAGUUUUAUCAGCUAGUUCAUGCUUGCGUUGAAAGAGUGGUCGUUUGCGCUGGGUCAUCACUGUGUAGUAUUGGGGAUACUUAGGUGAGAAAAAAACUUAACGCUAGAGACGUUCACGCACUAGUGGAGAAGCCAGGAUUGUUGCCCUAGAGUUACAGUAGAUAAAAGUACCUCAGAGAACUGCGGGGGCUCCCAACCUGGACGCUUGCACCGGAGUAUUAAAUCCAGCUAGAGAAUGGCAUGUGCAAAGAUACAGAGCUUUUAGAAGUUGCCUGCAUUCCUUGGCCCCUUCCUCACAUCAUUCCAACCAACUUCCAUCCUUACAAUCGAUUACUUUCCUGUAAUAGCUACAGUCAAAUGGGCAGCUGAAGAUGAUGAUGAUGAUGAUCUUGACACCGAGAAGCAGAAGACCAAUGAAGAUGACCAGACAGCAAAAAAGGAUAAGUUAAAAGAAGGGUCUCGCUCUGUAUCCCAGGCUGGAGUUCAGUGGCACGAUCUCCGCUCGCUGCAACCUCCGCCUCCUGGGUUCAAGUGAUUCUCCUGCCUCAGCCUCCCAAGUAGCUGGAUUACAGGUGCGUACCACCAUGCCUGGCUAAUUUUUUGUAUUUUUAGUAGAGAUGGGGUUUCACCAUUUUGGCCAGGCUGGUCUUAAACUCCUGAUCUCAAGUGAUCUGCCCACCUCGGCCUCCAAAAGUUCUUGGAUUAUAGGCGUGAGCCACCGCACCUGGCACAACAACUAAGAUCUUUCUUCCCGCCUCCCUGCUCCCCCAGAGACAGUCUCGCUCUGUCAACCAGGCUGGAGUGCAGUGGCGCAAUCUUGGCUCACUGCAACCUCCACUUUCCAGGUUCAAGUGAUCCUCCCGUCUCAGCCUCCCAAGUAGCUGGGAUUACAGGCGCGUGCCACCAUGCCCAGCUAAUUUUUGUAUUUUUUUAGAGACAGGGUUUCACCAUGUUGGCUAGGCUGGAAAACUAAGAUCUUAAUUUGAGUGCCAAAGGGUGUCCCACAGCUCCUUUCCUAUAUUUUGUUAUUGGGGCGGGGCCAGGACACACAUUUCAGUAAUCUUUGCUUUUAAGGGUUAUGAGGUAACUUAAAAUAUGGAAAAAAAAAAAACAGGUAUAACACACAGAACCUUAGAUUUCAUUGUUGCCAAGCUCCAUGUGAACUAGGAUAUGAAUAGUAGCAAUGAUUCAAUUAUUAUUAAUAGCAUACACUUACUAGAUACCAAACACUGGGUGAAGUGUGAUACAUAAGUCAUCUCAUUUAUGUAAACAUUGUGAGGAAAUAGAGCACUGGAGAGUUAAGGAACUCACUCGGGUACUCACUGCUGGUAAGUGAUGCAGCCAGGAUUCAACCCAGCCCAUCAGAUGGCAGCAUCUGCAUCUAUAACCAUUACACUAUUUCUUUCUUCAAGCUCCCAAUUUGUGUUCUGAGGAGAGACUAAAUAAGGAAAAGAAAAAAAUGUCUUCCCCUAUUUAGCCACCAGACCUUUGCCCAUGACUUGGAAGUGUUUGCUGUGGAGUCUCCUAUCUUGUCUUUUUUUUUUUUUUUGAGAUGGAGUCUCGCUCUGUCUCCCAGGCUGGAGUGCAGUGGCAUGAUCUCGGCUCACUGCAAUCUCCUCCUUCUGGGCCCAAGCGAUUCUCCUGCCUCAUUCUUCCCAGUAGCUGGGAUUAUAGGCUUCCGCCCCAACGCCUGGCUAAUUUUUGUAUUUUUAGUAGAGACAAGGUUUCUCUAUUGGUCAGGCUGGUCUGGAACUCCUGACCUCAAGUGAUCCUCCCCCUUUGGUAUCCCAAAGUGCUGGGAUUACAGGCGUGAGCCACUGCACCUAGCCUCCUAUCUUGUCUUCAUGAGUGUUCAGAAUUUUGUGGUGCACUGAUCAGAAGCCCAGAGGAAUCUAGACUUCAUUGAGGUGCACCUUGGUAUUUGAAUCCCACUCUCUCUUUUUGUUUUUAUUUUUUGGUGGAGUGGGAGGGUAGGGGCAGACAGAGUCUCACUCUGUUGCCCAGGCCAAAGUGCAGUGGGCACAGCUCACUGCAGCCUUGACCUCACAGGCUUAAAUCAUCCUCCCACCUCAGCCUCCGGAGUAGCUAGGACUAUAGGUGCACCACCACACCUGGCUAAUUUUUGUAUUUUUUGUAGAACUGAGGUUUCGCCAUGUUGCCCAGGCUGGUCUCAAACUCCUGGGCUCAAGCAAUCUGCCCGCCUCGGCCUCCCAAAGUGCUGAGAUUACAGUCAUGAGCUACUGUGCCCAGCCCAAAUUCCUCUUUAUCAGCAUCAGAUCAUAUCAAUAUCAAUUUUAUAAAGACCAUUAAUAUCAACCAGGAGAAGGAUGAAAGCAAAAUGUUCUAAGAGCAAAGGGACUGCUGAUUAUCAUCAAGUGACCCUAUUUCACAGGAAGAAAAUGUGGAUGACAUUUUAUGACCAACAGCAUUGUUUAUUUAACCUUGGAGCACAAUAGAGAAAAACUUUUGACUCCAACCCCCAGUCCCUGAAGGCAGAAGUCUGAAAUACCCUCUCAAUUCUGUUUAUGGCCUUAAAGCAUUUGUCUUAGCCUAUAUUCUCCCCAAAGCAGGGCCUGAGACAAAGGCUUAUGUGUGAGUAGUUUAAUUUGCUGUGCUGAUCUCAGGAAGCAGGAGCUAUGCUUGCAGAAAAUGAAAUAGGGAGUGCAAAUAUAAGGAUAAGAUAUUAACUACUACUGAGGACAACUGAUUACUCAAGCAUGGGAGACCUUCUGAGAGACCAUAUAGGAUGCAUUUAAGGACUGUCUUGCUCAGGGGAAGAGAGGGAGAAAAGGUUAUCCAUCAGUUUCCCUCUCCCAUUGGUCAAGACUGGCCCUAGGGAACAUUUAUGUUUCCUGUAAAUGAGUGCUAAGUGGACUCCCACAGACAUCAGGCAUGGCAGCUCAAAGAGACUGGAAGGCAGAAAAUGAAAGACAUGAGACGGGCCUGAGGCCAGGCAUUUUCAGGUUACAUCUUCAUGAAGAUGGUCACUGCUGCACAAUGGCUGGAAUAAGAGGUGAGACUGACAAGAUAUGAAGUGGGACAUGAGAGGUGUUUGACAGAGUCCAACCCUUGCACCAUUCAAGCCCACUUAAAAUGCCCUUGUGUAAAUUUAAUUUGUCAUACGGUCGUCUUCAGUAUGGCAGUUGGCUGCGUUCUCUGCAAACACUUGAUAAUCCAAGCAAAUUAGUGAAACAAGUUAUAACACUUGCUGCUACAGUUGAUCCCAAAGCUGUAAUUGAUAUUCAUUAUCUGCUUCUUCUACCACUCAAUCUAGAUUUCUCUUAUUCUCAUCUAGCACUUUGGCUGGCCUGGAUUUCUUGCUUGGUGGUGGGACUAUGACUGUCCCUGAAGUCCUUAUGAUUGCCUUACCCUUGAUAUGAUCAUGAUUACUACAAAUAGCCUGUUCAUCAUUACCACUGGAUUUGUUCCUGAGCUGACACUUAACUGAGCCUUACCAGAACAUUCCACCAUCAUCUGCCAGGGUCUGUUUUAUUGCAGAAGCCAUAGAGGUGAUCUGAAUAGAGAUAUAAUGGGCAUAAACAGGCUUGUGUCCUCUAAGUCUGUUCUGAUGGUGUUAAUCUCUGCAGUUCUUUCUGGGAUGCAAUAUUGCUUCUACUGAUGGGGGCAGUGAAGUGUCUGGGUAACUUCAGGGGCUUCCACUUGGCCCUUUCUACUACAGACUCUUACUCGGCUGGAUGUGGUGGCUCACGCCUGUAAUUCCAGCACUUUGGGAGGCCGAGGCGGGCGGAUCACUUGAGGUCAGGAGUUCGAGAUCAGCCUGGCCAAUGUGGUGAAACCCCAUCUCUACUAACAUUAGAGACUACAAAAAUUAGCCGUGUGUGGUGGUGGCAUGCCUGUAAUUCCAGCUACUCAGGAGGCUGAGGCAGGGGAAUCGCUUGAACCCAGGAGGUGGAGGUUGCAGUGAGCCGGGAUCAAGCCAUUGUACUCCAGCCUGGGUGACAGAACAAGACUCUGUCUCAAAAAAAAAAAAGAUUCUUACUCCUCAGGUCAGAAAAACAACACAAGAAUUCUAAUAUCUGCUAAAUAUAUAUCUGCUGAUCUCUACUUCCAGAAACUGGGGAAUUAACCACAGGGUGGGUCCGUGAAUGCAUAGAACCAAUGUGAAAUGCAUUUGGGCUAGAAGUCAUUUUAUCACUUGGCUUUCAUCAUUCAAAUUCAUCAUCUAAAAAUGGGGGGCUGCAUGCGGUGCCUCACACCUGUAAUUCCAGCACUUUGGGAGGCUGAGGUGGGUGGAUCAUCUGAGGUGAGGAGUUCAAGACUCAUCCUGGCCCACAAUGCAAAACCCGUCUGCACUAAAAAUACAAACAUUAGCCAGGCGUGGUGGCGGGCACUUGUAGUCCCAGCUACUCGAGAGGCUGAGGCGGGAGAAUCACUUGAACCCAGGAGAUGGAGGUUGCAGUCAGCCGAGAUUGUGCCACUUCACUCCAGCCUGGGUGACGGAGCGAGACUCCCUGUCAAUAAAUAAAUAAAUAAAUAAAUAAUGGGGGUGACAGUUCUUAUCACUUACGGGUUUUGUGAGGAUUAAAUGGUAUGUGUAAACACCAAAACAGCUGUUGACACACAGUAGGUGUUCAAGAAAUAGUACUGUGAUAGGACAUUUUUCUACAGAAAUCCUGACUCCCGCUUUGGAUGAUUUCCUUGAAUCCUGAGUUUUUUGAAUUCCCCAAAUUGUCCUCCAUGGUACUACAUAGUCAUUAAGAACAAAGAUUUAGGAGCCAGAUCAUUGGGGUUUUGAAUCUUGGCUCUACCAGUCACUAGCUGUUGGAUGUUGGGCAAGUGGUUUAAUCUAUCUGUGAUUCAAUUUCUUUAAUCUAUAAAAUGAGAAAAAUUAUAUAUCUCACAGUAUUGUUUUGGUAAUUGAGUUAUUAUAUGGAAAACACCUAGAAUUGCCUGGCACAUAGUAAGCAGAAUGUAACUGUUAGCUAUUAUUAUUUUAUUGUUAUUUUUUGAGAUGGGGUCUCACUCUGUUGCCCAGGCUGGAGUGCAAUGGUGAGAUCAUGGCUUGCUGCAGCCUCAACCUCCCACGCUUAAGUGAUCCUCCCACCUCAGCCUCCCAAGUAGCUGGGACUACAGGUGCAUGCCACCACACCCAGCUAAUUUUUGUAUAUUUGUAGAGACAGGGUUUCACCAUGUUACCCAGGCUGGUCUUGAGUCCUGGGCUCAAACAAUCCGCACACUUUGGCCUCCCAAAGUGCUGGGAUUACAGGUGUGAGCCACCAUGCCUGGCCUAUUAUUAUUAUUAAUUGGCCAACACUACCACCUAGAAUUUCUUACUAGCUGGCUUUUUUUCCCCCAUCCGUUGCUUAGCUACAUAUAUCUCCCCUCUCACUCUUCUCUUUCUCCUUCCAAAUCAAAAGGUUACAGCCUGCUGGUGGCCAUUCUGACAGGCUGGGAAGCAUAGGCUCCAGUUAGAAGCCAGAAACAGGCUCUUCCUCUCCUUCCAAAUCAUACCUGGGGGACUCAGCUUUUCUGGGAAACGUAAUAAUAGAAACAUUUACCCAGCACUUACUCAGAGUAUUGUGCUAAAUUCUUUCCAUGGAUGAACUCUUAAUUUUCACAACAAUCUUAAGAGGUAGAUAUAAAUAUUAUGCCCACUUUAUAGAUAGGGAAAAUUACAGUUUCAGAGAGACAUGACAACUUACCUAAGGUCACAUUCUAGAAAUUGGUAGAGUUGGGAUUUGAGCCCAGGUUUGUGAUAUUCCCUAGCCUAUUCUAACCAUAGGAAUAUGGCAUUGCGUAGUAGUAAAUUUAUGCACUCUAGCAUCAGACUGUGUUCACAUGCUGGACUCACAGCUGUGACUUACUACUGCCUUGCCUACUUAAGUGGCUUCUGAAAAUAUUUGGCCUUUCCAUUGGAGAUGGAGACAAAUGUGGGCAGUAAUGUUUUUAAAUAGAGUUUUCCCCAAUACCCAACAUAGAAUCUGCCGCAGAGCAGAUGCCUCAUAAACAUUGGCUCAGAAAAUAAAUAUAUUCACGACACUAUUGUAGGCACGGUGUGGGUUACAAAGGCAGUUGAUUGAUUACUUAUUUAUUGCAAGGAAUUGGCUGUUUUGCUCGUCAGGGCUGGCUUGGCAAGUUAAAAAUCUGCAGGGCAAACCAGCAGGCUGGAAACUCAGGCAGGAGUGGAAGCAGCAAUCCACAGUAAGUUUCUUCCCCAAGGAAGACUUCAGUUUGGUCUUUAGGCCUUUACACUGAUUGGAUGAGGCACACCCAGAUUAUUGAAGACAGUCUCUUUUAUUCAAAAGUCAACUGACUGUACAUGUUAACCACAUCUACAAAAUACCAUCACAGCAACACCUAGAUUCGUGUUUGAUUAAUAAAGUAGGUACUAUAUCCUAGCCAUAUUGACACAUAAAACUAAACUUCAUGGUCAGACUUGGUGGCUCACGCCUGUAAUCCCAGCAUUUUGGGAGGCCAAGACAGGGGGAUUGCUUGAGUCCAGGAGUUGGAGACCAGCCUGAGCAACAUGGCAAAACCCUGUCACUACAAAAAAUUUAAAAAACUAGCCAGGUGAGGUGGCGGGAGCCUGUAAUCCCAGCUACCCAGGAAGCUUGAGCCCUGGCAGUCGAGGUUGCAGUGAGCCAAGAUCGCGUCACUGCACUCCAGCCUGAGUAACAGAGUGAGACCCUGUCUCAAAAACAGACAAUCAAAAAACUAAACUAAACUAACCUUCACUUAAUUUUUUCAAGUUCGUUUCAUCAGCUAUAAAAUUGAGAUACUGAUCCUUACCUCCUUACCUCCUAUAUGAAAAUGCACAUUAGGUAGCAGAACUUUGCAUGAAGCAGAGCAACAGGGCUUAACAGGUCUUAGCGCUCAGUCUACAAGAAUCAGUGGGGAGGCCGUUGCAAUGCUUUGACGAGCAGGGUUUGGUUUGAAUAAGAAUAUAUUUUUCCAACAUGGAUAUUUUGUAAUAUAAGCACAUGGGUGGCGGGGAAACAGUUCAAACUGGCAAUCAAUGAAGAGGUUGUCUCACUCUAGGCCUUUCCCUCAGAAGUAAUCGUUGCUGAUAGUUUCUGACUAUUUUUCCAGAAUUUUGUUCUAUAUGCAUGCACGCUCAAUGCCUAAUCACACUCAGCCUUUUGUCCCCUUGCACCUUGCUUUUUAAAUUUAAUGGUAUGUCUUGGAGAAUGUUCCAUUUCAGCAUGUACAAAUCUACUUCUUUUAAAAAAUGGCUGCAAAGGGCUGGGCGUGGUGGCUCACGUCUGUAAUCCUGGCACUUUGGGAGGCCAAGGCAGGCGGAUUGCCUGAGCUCAGGAGUUUGAGACCAGUCUGGGCAACACAGUGAAACCCCAUCAAUACAAAAAAAAAAAAAAAUUAGCCGGGUGUGGCAGCGUGUGCCUGUAGUCCCACCUACUCGGGAGGCUGAGGCAGGAGAAUUGCUUGAACCCAGGAGGCGGAGGUUGUAGUGAGCUGAGAUCACACCACUGCACUCCAGCCUGGGCGACAGAGCGAGACUCUGUGUCUUAAAAAAAAUUGGCUGCAAAGUAUUCCAUUGUGUUGUUAAAUACUAAUUUACUUAUUUAAUAAGUUCUCAACUGAUGGUAAUUUAGGUUACCAACUUUUUUGCUAUUAUAAAUAAUACAAGGGUAAACAUCUUUGUACAUACAUACAUGUUUGCAUAAUGUGUAAGAAGAGAUGUAAGAUAAAUUUCGAGAACUGGAAAUACUGCAUUAAAGGGUUUGCACAUUUAAAAUGUCAAUGUAUAGUGCCACUUUAUCUUUCAAAGAGAUUGCAUUAGUUUAUACCCAACCAAUAGUAUACGAGAGUGCUGUUUCCCCAUGCCCUUAUCAACACUGCCACCUUGGAUUUAAACCUACUUGUUUUCCUUUAAAAUACCAAAAUGGGCAUUUGAAAAAAAGAGGCAUGAUUUGUUCCUUGGCAAGAGCUAUAUUUUGUUUGAGUUUGAUCUUUCUGAUAGCAGACCUAGGCCUUGUGCCCUGUCCUGUGGUCCCAUCUCUGAGGAGCUGGGCAGAUGACCUGACCACAGGACUCAAUCAGGAUAGCUUCAGGUCACCAGGCCAAAGGGUAGGCCAGACCCGGGCCUGUGCCUAGCCUGAUGAUGGAAAUGCAAACAAGCCAAGUUCUAUAAUAGAACACAGAGCCAUUGCCGGGAAACCACAAAUUGCUGACUUGCUCCUGCAAACAAUCAAUAUUCAGAAGCUGAGUCCAGGAAUUCUAACGAUGCAUCCUGCACAAAGGGCUGAGUGGGGGAGGAUGUGCUUUUAGAAAAAAACCCAGCACCAGAAGCCCUGGUGCUGCUUCUUAGAGGGCCAUCAAGAAGGCCCUUGGUCCCAUCACCACGCCCUCUGACAAUCCCAGAACCCUAGGCUCUCGGAGCCAGAGUAGAUCUGGGAAAUUAUCCUGCCCUGAGAGAGUCCAGGCAAAGAAUCAAGGGAGUUCCAAGGAGCAAGUGCUCACUUCGGUGGGAUAGUGCAGGGCAGUGGUUAGUGGCUACACUUGGGCUCAAAUCCUGACUCAGUCACCAGCUUUCUGACCUUGGACACAUUGCUUCACAUCUCUCAGCCUCAGUUUUCUCAUCUAUAGAAUGAAGACAAUAACACCUAUCUCAGAAGGUCAUUAUGAAGAUUCAACUGAAUAAUUAUGUUUGUAAAUAAUUUAGCAUGGCAACUGGCUUUUUGUAAGGUCGUAAUAAAUUAUUAUUAAUAUUCAUUUUUUUUUUGAGACAGAGUCUCCCUCUGUCACCCAGGUUGGAGUGCAGUGGCACUAUCUAGGCUUGAAUCCUCCUGGGUUCAAGUGAUUCUUCGGUCUCAGCCUCCCAAGUAGCUGGGACUACAGGCAUACACUAGCACGCCCAGCAAAUUUUUUGUAUUUUUAGUAGAGAUGUGGUUUCGCCAUGCUGGCCAGGCUGGUCUCAAACUCCUGAGCUCAAGUGAUCCACUGACCUUGGCCUCUCAAAGUGCUAAGAUUACAGGUGUGAGCCACCAUGCCUGGCCUAUAUUGUUAUGAAUAAACAAUAGGAUAUCAGGAGUGGGGACUAAGGAGAGGCCAUUUGCACUAGACCUUGAAGAAUUUGGAAGAUUUGGUAAUUAGAAUGAUUAAAGGGAUGAAGUUCCUGUGCAAAGGUUCUCUUCUCGUGUCUCUCCUGGCCUGACCAGGAGGCAUGCUGGGGUCUCAGCAGUAGACCACUGCAGAGGAGGGUGGGUAUAUGUAGGGGAUAAUUCCACUGCAGAACAUGUCAAAUAGUCCUUGCUUAAAUGGUAUCUACAAUGACAUUUGCAUCUGUGUUCCAAAUUCAUCCCCAUAUCCUCCUGUCUCAGCCUCCCAAAGUUCUGAGAUUACAGGCAUGAGCCACUGUGCCCAGCCUCCAUCCACAUUUGAAUGCAGGCUCCAUCAGGGCAGGCCCCUUUACUGUUAAAAUUCUGCGUGAUGAUGAAGGGCACAUGCCUGCACGGAUUUCCUCUACUCUGUUCCACCUUAGCUGCUUCCCUCCCUCAGCAACGCCUGGCAUCCCUACUCUGGGGUCGUUACUUAGAGGCAGGAUAUGGCUCCAAUUUAGCACCAUUAUCCCCAGGACCAGAUAGACAGUAAUUGGAAUGAAUCAAUAUAACAUACAAAACUCUUCAUAAUCUGGGUUCAGUAUAUUUUUUUAGCCAUUCUCUUAGCCUAGACUCCAGCUAGUCUCUAGCAUAGACUACAUAGAAUAAUGGUAACAUUGGGCUGGGGGUGGUGGCUCAUGCCUGUAAUCUCAGCACUUUGGGAGGCUGAGGUGGGUGGAUCACUUGAGGCCAGGAGUCCAAGACAAGCCUGGCCAACAUGGUGAAACCCCGUCUCUACUAAAAAUACAAAAAGUAGCCACGCAUGGUGGUGCACGCCUGUAGUCCCAGCUACUUGGGAGGCUGGGGCAGGAGAAGAGCUUGAACCCGGGAGGCGGAGGUUGCAGUGAGCCAAGAUCGUACCACUGCACUCCAGCCUGGGCAACAGAGUGAGACUCUCUCUCACAAAACAAAAACAAAACAAAACAAAACAAAAGAAUAAUGGUAAUAUUGAUCAUCAUUCACUGAGUGUGUACCAGUCAUUGUUCUAGCACUUUACAUGCAUUAAUUCACCGAAUCCUUACAGAACCCUAUCAGUUAAGUAUUAUUAUUAUCUCCAUUGGUCUGGUGAGAAAAUUAGACCCAGAAAGGUGAAACAAAUUCCUGAUAGAGCAAGGACUUGAAGCCAGGUGGUCUGCCUGGACCCUGAACCAUUCCCAGCCACUCCUCUCUGUUGCCUCUGCUGCAGAGUGGCUUUGCUCUUUCAAGUCGCUGAGCCUCUGCUCUGCUGCAAUGCCCUUCCCCAACUUCUGGCUCUAGCAAACUCUACUUGCCCUUUGAAGCCCAGCCCAGAUACUGCAUCCCUGGCCCCACCUGCUUCUCCAACCAGGGGAAGGAGGUUGUCCCUGUCUCCACUUUGUUCCCCUUACAAGUUGCUCCCAGUCCUGGAUGGGGAGGUCGUCUGAAACAGGACCCUGACUCACGCCUCAGUAUCCCCAGCCCUCAGCACAGUGCUUGUCUGUGGGUCUUUCAUUUGUGUUUUCAACAAACAUGAACGAGUUGAAUGAGUAACUCCACUGCUUCACACACAAGGAAACAAAUCCAGAGAGGCAGAGGGACCUGUCCAUAUCACACAGCCAGUGAGAGAAAGAGCUGAGGCCAGACUCCAGGGCUCCUGACACCCAGCCCUGCUCUCUCUCACGCCAUCCCAACUGUGUGUGGAAUGUUUGGAAAAGCCUUCAUGCAUCUUUGAGCCUUUCUUAAUUCUGUCUUACAUUUAUUUCAUCCCAAAGAGGACUUCUUUGAGAAUGCUGGUGGGAGAGUGAAUUUUGGCUCGUCUUGUCUGAAGUCAUGAGGCAACAGGGAAAAACAGACAAACAAUCCUGAGAUGUGUUUUACUGACCCGGUCCUCAAAACAGCAGAACAAAACACUCCACACUCAAGCUGGGGCUGCUAGCCAGCAGGGCACUGAGUGAAGCUGGACAGAAUUCACUAGGGAUCCUCCUCCCUUUUGCUUAAAAUGGUGGGGACUUUGGAGAGGAAGUGUUUUCUGGUUAGUCUGAAUUUUCUUUUUUUUUUUCCUUUUUUUUUGAGAUGGAGUCCCACUCUGCUCCCCAGGCUAGAGUGCAGUGGCACAAUCUCAGCUCACUGCAACCUCCGCCUCCUGGGUUCAAGCGAUUCUCCUGCCUCAGCCUCCCGAGUAGCUGGGAUUACAGGCGUGCACCACCACACCUGGCUAAUUUUCAUUUUUUUAGUAGAGAUGGGGUUUUACCAUGUUGGCCAGGCUGGUCUUGAACUCCUGACCUCAGGUGAUCCAUCCGCCUCAGCCUUUCAAAGUGCUGGGAUUACAGGCUUGAGCCACUGUGCCUGGCCCUUUUUUUUUCUUUUUCUUUCUUUUUGACAGGGUCUUGCUCUAUCACCCAGGCUGGAGUGCAGUGGCACAAUCAUGGCUCAUUCCCACCUCAGCCUCCCAGGCCCAAAUGAUCCUCCCACCUCACCCGUGUAGCUGGGACCACAGCUGUGCACCACCAUGCCUGGAUAAUUUUUAAAUUUUUUGUAGAGAUGAGGUCUCCCUAUGUCACCCAGGCUGAUCUCAAACUCCUAAGCUCAAGGGAUCCUCCUGCCUCUACCUCCCAAAAUGCUGGGAUUACAGGCUUGAGCCACUGUGCCUGGCCCUUUUUUUUCUUUUUCUUUCUUUUUGACAGGGUCUUGCUCUACCACCCAGGCUGGAGUGCAGUGGCACAAUCAUGGCUCAUUCCCACCUCAGCCUCCUGGGCCCAAAUGAUCCUCCCACCUCACCCGUGUAGCUGGGACCACAGGCGUGCACCACCAUGCCUGGAUAAUUUUUAAAUUUUUUGUGGAGAUGAGGUCUCCCUAUGUCACCCAGGCUGAUCUCAAACUCCUAAGCUCAAGGGAUCCUCCUGCCUCUACCUCCCAAAAUGCUGGGAUUACAGGCGUGAGCCACCACACCUGGCCAGUGAUGAUUACUUAUUCAUGAUGUCCUUUAUGGCUGGAAUGGCCUUCCUCACCUUGUCUGCCUAGGAAACUUUUACUUGUCCAUCAUAAGGGUGUUCUCCUUGGCAAGGCAUCUCUGACCAUCCCGUUUCCCCUCAGUGUGGUCCCUGGUUCUCUCAGCUCUCUCACCCCUUUUACCUUUGCCCCUCUAACACAAUCUGAUUUAUGUUGAAAUUGUUUACUUGCCCAUCUUCCCUAGUAGGUGAUGCCAGCUAAGAGGAUAGGCUCAGGUCUGUGCCCUCAGGGCCUAACAGUGCCUGCCCCAUGGAGACUCAGGAACUGGCUUCUACAUCCCUAGAUCAGGAGCACUAGGAGGUUGGGAGAAGAGAAGCUUUGCAGAGCUGGGGGCUGCACAGCUCCUGGGAGCACAAAUCAUAUCAUAUGCUAUUACUUUGUUUGAAUGGAGUCCCUGGAGCUGUGCAGCUUGGUAGCUCUGGGCCUCUGCCUGAGACAGACUUGGUCUUGAAUCUUAGCUCUGCCACAUUCUGGCUUCACUCCUUGGACCAUUUAAUCUGUUUAGGCCUCAGUGUCUUCACUUGUCAAUGACUGUUAUGAUUGUGACCUCUCAGAUUGUUGUCAAGAUUAAAUGAGAUGAUACACACAACGAUCCCGAUGGUGCCUGGCCAGUGGUAGUUGUAACCCGGUACCGGAUUUUUAAUGACAAGAUUCAUACCAGGGCUGAGCAUCAGACUAUGGGGUUGCCUUGGUAGUGUAAGAGGCAGAAAGGUAAUGUGAAGAGGCAGAAAGAACAGUGCUCUAGGAGACAAGAACCCUGGAUACAAGGGCUGUGUGUGUGCACAUGUGUGUGUGUACUUUCUCUGCCCUACCAUUGUGGUCCAUCUUCCCCUCUGUCCCAGGCCCAUCCUGGUUUUGUACUCCAUACUGAGCUGGAAAAAUUUGAGGUAGAGGAGCAGCUAGGAACCCAUCUAGGGUGGCCAGGCCUACCCGUGCGCUGGGAAGCAGGAGUGCCCUUGAGCAGUGGCACUGCUUUGGGCUGGAGCCAUGAGGCCUCCUCUGUGGUGGGGGUCAUGGUUUGGAGCAUGGGCUAUGGAGCCAACAGCCUGGGUGCAAAAUCCCUCUUAGCCCCUUCCUCACUGUUCUACCUGUCUGUGCCUCAGCUUCCUCACUGGAUUAGUUCACUAGGGCUGCUGUAACAAAGUGCCACAGCCUGGGUGGCUCAAACAGCAGAAGUCAUUUCACAUAGUUUUGGAGGCUAGGAGUGUGAGAUCAAGGUGUUGGCCCGAUUGGUGUCUAGUGAGGGCCUCUCUCCUCGGCUUGCGGGUGGCUGGCUUUGUGGUUCUAUGUUCGCUAUUGGUGAAAUAAGGGACAGUGAGCUCAGAAGGAAGUGAACUUCCAGGGUCUAAAUAGCCCAGGUGGAACAGUGCACAGACCUGCAGUGACACUGCCCAGCUGGCCAAUACUGGACUGUGUUUCAUCCUAGACAAUUUCAAGACACAAGUUUGUUUUAUGUUCUAUUAAUACCGUAUAAGAAUAAACACUAGAAAUUGUAAUUGUAAGACACCAUCAAUUAAGUCUCACUCUGAUCUCAGAGAUGCUGAAAUUUGAAAAAAAUAUGUGUUGUGUCUUAGAAUUGAUGAAAGACAGUAGGUCCUGUUUUUUAGCUUUUGGCAGUGAGGAUCCACUGAGGUGGAGGGGGGGCAGGCCAUGUGUCUGGGGCCGCAGACGCUGGCUGCUGUCCAGUAUCAGCGUCCACACAGGAAGUGGAAUGGUGAAGCACCAUCCCAGUCAAGUCUCCUCACUUGGAAAACUGGCUAAAUCCACGGCUGGGAAACAGAUCUCAAAAGCUGCACAGGUCCCACUUGAGCUUUUUGGUGGGCCUUGUAAAAUGAGCCCUUUGCGUGGGCAUCUGACAGACCUGGGUUCUUGCUCUAAAGCUGCUACUCAUCAACCAAGAAAUUGAAAGAUGAAAGGCUCCAAAGUGCAAAGAGGGGCCAGGCAUGGUGGCUCAUGCCUGUAAUCCCUCCGAGGUGUGUGGAUCACUGGAGCCCAGGAGUUCGAGACCAGCCUGGGCAAUAUGGUGAAACCUGAUCUCUACAAAAAAAAAAAAAAAAACAAAAACAAAAAGAAGAAGAAGAAAAUUAGCCAGGUGUGGUGGCACACACCAGUAGCCCCAGCUACUCUGGAGGCUGAGGUGGGAGGAUCACUUGAGCCCAGGAGGUCAAGGCUUCAGUGAGCCAUGAUCAUGAUGCCACUGCACUCCAGCCUGGGUGACAGAAUGAGACCCUGUCUCAAUAAGUAAACAAAAGUGCAAAGAGGGCUUUGCCAAAUGUUGCAUGCACAAGAUGGUGUGUGUGUGAGAGACAGGGCUGGGAGUCAGGGGUCCCGGGGUUCGGUUUUGGCUUUUCCCUCCCUGGCUGUGGACUUGGCCAGGUCCCUCUGCCUCUCUGGACCUGUUUCCUCGUGGGUAAAGCAGUUGAGUUCAGUCACUCAUCCAACAAAUGUGAACUGGGGGCCCUUUCUGGGUGGUGUGCUGAGGGCUGGGGGUAUACAGGGUGAGAUGUGGUCUCCGCUCCCGGAGAGCUCCGUCCAGUGUGGAGAGCAAGGAGUGAAGAGAGCAGAGAGGAGGCAGCCAGGCAUUCUCCAUGCACUGUCUCCUUUAAUCCUCAUCAUCACCUUAUGUGAUGGGUAACACAGGCAUUUUUAUUGCCAUUUCAGAGAUGCAGUCAUGGAGACUGAGAAAGAUGGUGCUGCUUACCAAGGCAGGGCCAGGGUUUGGACCUGUUCUGCCUUACCUAAAGCCAGUUCUCUUUCCUCUUCACCUUGGAUGGUCAGUCAGAAGUUUCCUUCUAGCACAGCAUUCUCAGAUUCUAUGCCAAAAAAUAGCCUGUGAGUGUCACAUUCUGACAGGCUUCUACAAGAUCCCCCUCACUUAGCAACCAAGUAAGGGAGAGCCUCUCUCUGCUCAGGAAUGGUGGGGCCGGGGGUAGGGGUGCAGGGUAGCUCAGCUUGUCUAACCUGGCUUGUCUUCUAAGGAGGUGGUAAGCACCAUGUUUCAGGGGAGUGAGCCUCCCCCUCACAAAAGCUUUCCAUCUACACUCAUGGGCAUGUCAGUGGUGUGACAUGCCAUCUGAGUGAUUCCACUUUGCCUGUUCAUUUUAUGCCCAGCAGCUCUUAAUACAGUCCAGCAGUUCAUACUGGAAAAUACAGAAAUCAAGGGACUGCUCUGUCAGUGAGCAUUAUGUUCACAGGUUCGUGUCACAGGAUGAAGGGGCAGGAGAAGAUGCUGGGGGCCAGUCCUUAGUCUGAAGCCUCCAUGGCAGCCCCAUCAAGGGAUUUUUUGGUCUCUGUUUGCAUAUCUCCCUGGAUAGGAGGAUCAUGCUUCCUUUCAGCUCUGGCUAGAAGAGACUUCUAGCUGGUAGAGCCCAACAAUACCUUGCACAUUUUGCCGAGGAAGCUCUCAGGCUGACAGUGAAGUGAUUUGCUCAGGGUUGCCUGGUGCGACAGUGGAAAGCCUGGGUCAGAGUCUUGGCACUGGGAAGCCUGGUUCUGUCCUUGACCUCAAAGUUGAGUGGAAAUAAUCCCAAGGGAGGAUUUAGGCUGGAUUCUUGCCUCAACCAGGUCAUUUAACUUGAAUUAAAUGAUAUUUAAUUCAAUUUAAUAUUAGCCAAGGCCUACUAUGUGCCAGGCACUAUACUUACACCUAAUGUGAUCACCUCCCUGAACCCUAGUUUCCCAUCUAUGAAAAAAAAUACCUCCUGUGCAUCUUUUCUCAGAGCCCUGUUAUGAGGAUGAAAUGAAGAAAAGGAAGUAAAGUGCUUUGUAAACUGUAAAGUGCUGUGUCCAUUGAGGCAUUGUUGCUAAAGCUGGCCAUCCUAUCUCUGCGGUCCACUCUGCCUGGAGCAGACUUCCCACUUAGCACUGGCUACCAUAUUUGAAUUUGUUUAUCUGCUCCUCACCCCCACCAGAGUUCCCAGGGGAGGAAUGUUUGGGGGCUUGUAUUUGAUUUCCCAGAACCUCGCCCUGGGCCUGGCACAUGGCAGAUGCUUAACAGUAUUUAUAAAUGUCAUAGUCCAUUCAGGCUGCUAUAACAAAAUGCCAUAAACUGGGUAGCAGAAAUGUAUUUCCCACAGUUCUGGAGGCUGGGAAGUCCAAGUCCAAGAUCAGGGACAGGCAGAUUUGGUGUCUGGUGAAGCCUGGUUUCCUGCCUCAUACAUAGCUGUCUGUCUUCCCUGUGUCCUCAUGGGGUAGAAAGGGCAAGGGAACCCUUUGGGGUCCCUUUUUUUUGAGACGGAGUUUCACUCUUAUUGCCCAGGCUAGAGUGCAAUGGUGUGAUCUUAGCUCACCCCAACCUCUGCCUCCCGGGUUUGAGCGAUUCUUCCGCCUCAUCCUCCUGAGUAGCUGGCAUUACAGGCAUGCGCCACCACGUGUAGCUAAUUUUGUAUUUUUAGUAGAGAUGGUGGUUUCUCCAUGUUGGUCAGGCUGGUCUCGAACUCCCGACCUCAGGUGACCCGCCCAACCUGGCUUCCCAAAGUGCUGGGAUUACAGGCGUGAGCCACCAUGCCCGUUUUUUUUUUUUUUUCUUUUUGAGACGGAUUCUUACUCUGUUGCCCAGGCUGGAGUGCAAUGGCACGAUCUUGGCUCACUGCAACCUCCACCUCCCGGAUUCAAGCGAUUCUCCUGCCUCAGCCUUCCGAGUAGCUGGGAUUACAGGCAUGCACCACCAUGCUCAGCUAAUUUUCUUUUCUUUUUUUUUUUUGUAUUUAGUAGAGAUGGGGUUUCACCAUGUUAGGCUGGUCUUGAACUCCUGACCUCAGGUGAUCCACCUGCCUCGGCCUCCCAAAGUGCUGGGAUUACAGAUGUUCACCACCGUGUCCAGCCCUGCGGUCCCUUUUGUAGGAACAAAUCCCAUUCAUGAGGGUUCCACUCUCACGACCUAACUACCUCUCAAAGCCUAUCCCUCCAAAUAUCACACUGGGGUUAGGUUUCAACUUAGGGGUAUUAUAGGGACACAAGCAUUCAGUCUGUAAACAGAACAUGUGAUGAGCUCUUGUUUCUCAGACCCAAGGAGAUGCCAACCUGUGGGCACUGGAAGACCCCUGGGGGGAGGGCUAGGGAGAGGGCAGGUGGGAAGGGUGACCACUGUGGUGAAGUAGCUACAUUGUAUAGGGUAUAUACCCUGGGGUGCGUCUCCUUGCGCCAGGAAAAUUUAGGACAUGGGCACACACGAGGAGUUUAGGAGCGGAGUUUUAAUAGGCAGAAGAGAAAGAGAAACAGCUUUUUCUAUAGAGAGAGAGGGGUCUCUGAGUGGAAAAGACUGGCUGGUGGUGGAUGCACCAGACUUUAUAGUCCAGCUUGAGGAGGUGGUGUCUGAUUUAUGUAGGGAUCACAGAUUGUUUUGAUCAGGUGUGAUAUUUACAUAGCGCAAGGAAGGCUUGUUGCCCCACCCUAAUCCUAUGAUGCAAAUGAACUCUCCUUGGCUGGUGCCAUCUUGUCUGCUCCUUACUGUACACGUGGCUGGCAAAGAAGGGAUGAUGGAGCCCCCAUCUUGAACAUGUCUAGUCCCUCCCUAGUCCCUAGUUCCUGCUGACAUUCAGCCAUGCAAGCUCCCAGCUUGUUUGUCUGUAUCUGCAGCUUGACUUUAUAGGUUGCUGUUUGGUAGAAAAUGAUUUUGGGCUGCUUUUCAUUAAAAAGAAAAGCCUUACCGAGGACUCCCAUAUCCUUACUAUCUGCCUAAGUGAUUUCUUCUUAACUCCUAUUAUCAGUGGGGUACUCUAAGCAGCGGGAGUGGCUUUGUUAUCCCAGCUUGGACCUGUAGUUUUUGGCUCUCAUGUAAAUAGAAAUGAACCCUGGCUGGGUGCGGUGGCUCACGCCUGUAAUAUCAGCACUUUGGGAGGCCGAGGCGGGCAGAUCAUGAGGUCAAGAGAUCGAGACCAUCCUGGCCAACAUGGUGAAACCCCGUCUCUACUAAAAAUGCAAACAUUAGCUGGGCAUGGUGGCACGUGACUGUAGUCCCAGCUACUCUGGAGGCUGAGGCAGGAGAAUCGCCUGAACCCGGGAGGUGGAGGUUGCAGUGAAUUGAGAUCAUGCCAGUGCACUCCAGCUGGGCGACAGAGUAAGACUCCGUCCCCCACCCCCCUCACAAAAAAAGAAAAGAAAGAAAUUAACACCAGGCCAAACAGAACUUUUACUCAGGCAAGGUUUCAUAGGCUUGCGUCUGGAGCAACUGCGCGGGAGCAUUGUAUGGGAAAGGGAUCCUGGUGCUAGCUCCUGGAAGGACUUGGCUCUUGUCAUUUUAAGGAAGCUGAGGCGAGAAAAAGGAGUGACAUGUAGGCAUGUAGGGAUGGGGAACUUUUAGCACCUGCGCAGUUUGACUAUGUGUUUCUCAUGCAUCAUAUGUCUCAUUAGUGCGUUAAAUCUCCAGCCCUGGGUGUGAUUUUUAGUAUUACGAUGUGAUUAUUAUAAGGAAAACUUGGUGAAAGGUCAGUGCUGGAGUCCAUCUUGUCUUCAGCCAACUGCAUGUGGUCUGGUUCUUAUCAGGAAUGCCAGAGGCCUGCUUUUAGCAACCUUGGGAGACAGCACUCAAGGACAUAAAUGGUUAGUUUCUUAUUUUUAUGGUUACAAACUCAGCCUGGUCAGCUAACUUAGGAGAGAGGUCCCCCUUUGCUAUGUGACGUGGGUCAGCUUGUUAACGGAUACAAGAAGGCAGCAGAGGGAAUAUGCCUGGACAUGUGA
RNAcentral lists this long non-coding RNA (18728 nucleotides) under Homo sapiens (human). RNAcentral describes it as "non-protein coding KCTD21-AS1:25". The record is from RNAcentral. Lineage: Eukaryota; Metazoa; Chordata; Mammalia; Primates; Hominidae.